Molecule: RNA transcript, 1003 nt
Organism: Salvia splendens (bonfire salvia)
Lineage: Eukaryota; Viridiplantae; Streptophyta; Magnoliopsida; Lamiales; Lamiaceae
Gene name: (+)-pulegone reductase
Exons: 3
Source: RefSeq, a predicted model, not a curated record
AAUGGGUGAGGAAAUUAGCAACAUGCAAGUGAUACUCAGCAACUAUGUCAAAACAUCUGUGAAAGAAUCCGAUAUGUCGCUGAGAACUUCCAAAAUUCAGCUCAAAAUUCCCAGCGGUUGCGACGGCGCCGUUUUGGUGAAGAAUCUCUACUUAUCCAUCGAUCCUUUUAUUCUUGCCCUCAUGAAGAAUCAAGAGCUCGAUUUACCUUCUUUCAUGCUGGAUUCUCCUAUUUAUGGAUUUGGAGUGUCGAAAGUACUGGAUUCGUCUCAUCCAAAUUUCAAGACGGGCGAGCUAGUUUGGGGGUUUACUGGCUGGGAGGAGUAUAGCUUUAUUAAAGAUCCAGACUAAUUGUUUAAGGUUCAAGAUAAAGAUUUGCCCCUCUCUUAUUAUACAGGGAUUCUUGGUGAGUUUCUCGAGCCCCUUGUGAUUAUCGACUUCAAAUUUUACGCUUGAUUCCUGCUUCCUAGUGCUAUUUGUCUGAUCUAGAACUAGUUGUUUGUGAUUCUGCAGAAGUUAUGUAUGCAGUUAAACUGUUAACGAAAACGAGUUGUUGAUGAACUAUAUAUGCUUGAAUUAAUAGAUUGGGAAAUGUUGGAUUUGUAGCGUUUAUCUUGAUAGUUUCUGAAAAACAACAGUAGGAGAUGUACUAACUUGAGACUUAAAAUCAAUGUGUUUCGCGUUAUCAUUUUAGGCAUGCCUUUAUGUUGGUUUUUUCAAGUUUUGCUCUCCCAAAAAGGAGGAAACUGUGUAUGUCUCUGCUGCAUCCGGAGCUGUUGGUCAGCUCGUUGGUCAGUUUGCAAAGAUCGCAGGGUGUUACGUUGUUGGGAGUGCGGGGAGCAAAGAAAAGGUCGAUCUCUUGAAGAACAAAUUCGGGUUUGACGAAGCAUUCAACUACAAAGAAGAGCAAGACUAUAAUGCAGCGUUGAAGAGGUUCUAUCAUUGCUAUAAAAAUGUGUAUACUUAUUUAACAUUGAAGAAUAGUUAGUAAUUUAACACACAAUA